AAAUUGAAGAGUUUGAUCAUGGCUCAGAUUGAACGCUGGCGGCAGGCCUAACACAUGCAAGUCGAACGGUAACAGGAAGCAGCUUGCUGCUUCGCUGACGAGUGGCGGACGGGUGAGUAAUGUCUGGGAAACUGCCUGAUGGAGGGGGAUAACUACUGGAAACGGUGGCUAAUACCGCAUAACGUCGCAAGACCAAAGAGGGGGACCUUCGGGCCUCUUGCCAUCAGAUGUGCCCAGAUGGGAUUAGCUAGUUGGUGAGGUAACGGCUCACCAAGGCGACGAUCCCUAGCUGGUCUGAGAGGAUGACCAGCCACACUGGAACUGAGACACGGUCCAGACUCCUACGGGAGGCAGCAGUGGGGAAUAUUGCACAAUGGGCGCAAGCCUGAUGCAGCCAUGCCGCGUGUAUGAAGAAGGCCUUCGGGUUGUAAAGUACUUUCAGCGGGGAGGAAGGUGUUGUGGUUAAUAACCGCAGCAAUUGACGUUACCCGCAGAAGAAGCACCGGCUAACUCCGUGCCAGCAGCCGCGGUAAUACGGAGGGUGCAAGCGUUAAUCGGAAUUACUGGGCGUAAAGCGCACGCAGGCGGUCUGUCAAGUCGGAUGUGAAAUCCCCGGGCUCAACCUGGGAACUGCAUUCGAAACUGGCAGGCUUGAGUCUUGUAGAGGGGGGUAGAAUUCCAGGUGUAGCGGUGAAAUGCGUAGAGAUCUGGAGGAAUACCGGUGGCGAAGGCGGCCCCCUGGACAAAGACUGACGCUCAGGUGCGAAAGCGUGGGGAGCAAACAGGAUUAGAUACCCUGGUAGUCCACGCCGUAAACGAUGUCUACUUGGAGGUUGUGCCCUUGAGGCGUGGCUUCCGGAGCUAACGCGUUAAGUAGACCGCACGGGAGUACGGCCGCAAGGUUAAAACUCAAAUGAAUUGACGGGGGCCCGCACAAGCGGUGGAGCAUGUGGUUUAAUUCGAUGCAACGCGAAGAACCUUACCUGGUCUUGACAUCCACAGAACUUUCCAGAGAUGGAUUGGUGCCUUCGGGAACUGUGAGACAGGUGCUGCAUGGCUGUCGUCAGCUCGUGUUGUGAAAUGUUGGGUUAAGUCCCGCAACGAGCGCAACCCUUAUCCUUUGUUGCCAGCGAUUAGGUCGGGAACUCAAAGGAGACUGCCAGUGAUAAACUGGAGGAAGGUGGGGAUGACGUCAAGUCAUCAUGGCCCUUACGACCAGGGCUACACACGUGCUACAAUGGCGCAUACAAAGAGAAGCGACCUCGCGAGAGCAAGCGGACCUCAUAAAGUGCGUCGUAGUCCGGAUUGGAGUCUGCAACUCGACUCCAUGAAGUCGGAAUCGCUAGUAAUCGUGGAUCAGAAUGCCACGGUGAAUACGUUCCCGGGCCUUGUACACACCGCCCGUCACACCAUGGGAGUGGGUUGCAAAAGAAGUAGGUAGCUUAACCUUCGGGAGGGCGCUUACCACUUUGUGAUUCAUGACUGGGGUGAAGUCGUAACAAGGUAACCGUAGGGGAACCUGCGGUUGGAUCACCUCCUUACCUUAAAGAA
RNAcentral lists this ribosomal RNA (1551 nucleotides) under Salmonella enterica. RNAcentral's name for it is "bacterial SSU rRNA". It matches the Rfam family "Bacterial small subunit ribosomal RNA". The record is from RNAcentral. Lineage: Bacteria; Pseudomonadati; Pseudomonadota; Gammaproteobacteria; Enterobacterales; Enterobacteriaceae.